This 481-nucleotide ribosomal RNA is filed under the name uncultured bacterium. Its description in RNAcentral is "partial 16S ribosomal RNA". It matches the Rfam family "Bacterial small subunit ribosomal RNA", at positions 28 to 507 of the family's 1533-position model. The record is from RNAcentral.
GAUGAACGCUGGCGGCGUGCCUAACACAUGCAAGUCGAGCGAAGCGCUUAAAUUAGAUUUCUUCGGAAUGACGCUUUUUGUGACUGAGCGGCGGACGGGUGAGUAACGCGUGGGUAACCUGCCUCAUACAGGGGGAUAACAGUUAGAAAUGACUGCUAAUACCGCAUAAGACCCCAGCUUCGCAUGAAGCGGUGGUAAAAACUCCGGUGGUAUGAGAUGGACCCGAGUCUGAUUAGCUAGUUGGUAAGGUAACGGCUUACCAAGGCGACGAUCAGUAGCCGAGCUGAGAGGGUGACCCGCCACAUUGGGACUGAGACGCGGCCCAGACUCCUACGGGAUGCAGCAGUGGGGAAUAUUGCACAAUGGGGGAAAUGCUGAUGCAGCGACGCCGGGUGAAGGAUGAAGUAUGUCGGUAAGUAAACUUCUAUCAGCAGGGAAGAAAGUGACGGUACCUGACUAAGAAGCCCCGGCUAACUACGUG